GAUGAACGCUAGCUACAGGCUUAACACAUGCAAGUCGAGGGGCAGCACAGUGUAGCAAUACAUGGGUGGCGACCGGCGCACGGGUGCGUAACGCGUAUCCAACCUUCCCGUUACUCAGGGAUAGCCUUCCGAAAGGGAGAUUAAUACCUGAUGGUAUUCAAAUUUCGCAUGUUAUUUGAAUUAAAGAUUUAUCGGUAACGGAUGGGGAUGCGUGACAUUAGGUAGAUGGCGGGGUGACGGGCCCACCAUGCCUACGAUGUCUAGGGGUUCUGAGAGGAAGGUCCCCCCANACUGGAACUGAGACACGGUCCAGACUCCUACGGGAGCAGCAGUGAGGAUAUGGUCAAUGGCCGAAGGCUGAACCA
RNAcentral lists this ribosomal RNA (365 nucleotides) under uncultured bacterium. RNAcentral's name for it is "bacterial SSU rRNA". It matches the Rfam family "Bacterial small subunit ribosomal RNA", at positions 28 to 390 of the family's 1533-position model. The record is from RNAcentral.